Molecule: ribosomal RNA, 269 nt
Filed under: uncultured prokaryote
Description: partial 16S ribosomal RNA
Rfam family: Bacterial small subunit ribosomal RNA
Source: RNAcentral
AACGUAGGACGCAAGCGUUAUCCGGAAUUACUGGGCGUAAAGCGCGCGCAGGCGGGUCCGCAAGUCAUGUGUGAAAGCUCCCGGCUAAACCGGGAGAGGUCAGAUGAAACUGCGGGUCUAGAGGAUGUUAGAGGAGCGUGGAAUUCCAGGUGUAGUGGUGAAAUGCGUAGAUAUCUGGAGGAACACCGGUGGCGAAGGCGACGCUCUGGGACAUCCCUGACGCUGAGGCGCGAAAGCAUGGGGAGCGAACGGGAUUAGAUACCCUGGUA